Molecule: ribosomal RNA, 1295 nt
Filed under: Drosophila ananassae
Lineage: Eukaryota; Metazoa; Arthropoda; Insecta; Diptera; Drosophilidae
Description: eukaryotic LSU rRNA
Rfam family: Eukaryotic large subunit ribosomal RNA
Source: RNAcentral
AGGAACGACCAUAAAGAAGCCGUCGAGAGAUAUCGGAAGAGUUUUCUUUUCUGUUUUAUAGUCGUACUACCAUGGAAGUCUUUCGCAGAGAGAUAUGGUAGAUGGGCUAGAAGAGCAUGACAUAUACUGUUGUGUCGAUAUUUUCUCCUCGGACCUUGAAAAUUUAUGGUGGGGAUACGCAAACUUCUCAACAGGCCGUACCAAUAUCCGCAGCUGGUCUCCAAGGUGAAGAGUCUCUAGUCGAUAGAAUAAUGUAGGUAAGGGAAGUCGGCAAAUUAGAUCCGUAACUUCGGGAUAAGGAUUGGCUCUGAAGAUUGAGAUAGUCGGGCUUGAUUGGGAAACAAUAAUAUGGUUUAUGUGCUCGUUCUGGGUAAAUAGAGUUUCGAUCAUUUAUGGUUGUAACUUGUUCCCCGGAUAGUUAGUUACGUAUCCAAUUGUGGAACUUUCUUGCUAAAAUUUUUAAGAAUACUAGUUGGGUCAAACCAAUUAGUUCUUAUUAAUUAUAACGAUUAUCAAUUAACAAUCAAUUCAGAACUGGCACGGACUUGGGGAAUCCGACUGUCUAAUUAAAACAAAGCAUUGUGAUGGCCCUAGCGGGUGUUGACACAAUGUGAUUUCUGCCCAGUGCUCUGAAUGUCAAAGUGAAGAAAUUCAAGUAAGCGCGGGUCAACGGCGGGAGUAACUAUGACUCUCUUAAGGUAGCCAAAUGCCUCGUCAUCUAAUUAGUGACGCGCAUGAAUGGAUUAACGAGAUUCCUACUGUCCCUAUCUACUAUCUAGCGAAACCACAGCCAAGGGAACGGGCUUGGAAUAAUUAGCGGGGAAAGAAGACCCUUUUGAGCUUGACUCUAAUCUGGCAGUGUAAGGAGACAUAAGAGGUGUAGAAUAAGUGGGAGAUAUUAGACUUCGGUUUGGUAUCGCCAAUGAAAUACCACUACUCUUAUUGUUUCCUUACUUACUUGAUUAAAUGGAACGUGUAUCAUUUCCUAGCCAUUAUACGGAUAUAUUUAUUAUAUCUUAUGGUAUUGGGUUUUGAUGCAAGCUUCUUGAUCAAAGUAUCACGAGUUUGUUAUAUAAUCGCAAACAAAUUCUUUAAUGAGAGAUGCAUUUACUGUAUUAUUGAUUUGAAAAUUUGGUAUAACUCCAAUUACUCAGGUAUGAUCCAAUUCAAGGACAUUGCCAGGUAGGGAGUUUGACUGGGGCGGUACAUCUCUCAAAUAAUAACGGAGGUGUCCCAAGGCCAGCUCAGUGCGGACAGAAACCACACAUAGAGCAAAAGGGCAAAUGCUGACUUGA